GGGAUUGCCCCAGUAACGGCGAGUGAAGCGGCAACAGCUCAAAUUUGAAAUCUGGCCCCUAGGGCCCGAGUUGUAAUUUGUAGAGGAUGCUUUUGGCGAGGCGCCUUCCGAGUUCCCUGGAACGGGACGCCACAGAGGGUGAGAGCCCCGUCUGGUCGGAUGCCAAGCCUAUGUAAAGCUCCUUCGACGAGUCGAGUAGUUUGGGAAUGCUGCUCAAAAUGGGAGGUAUAUGUCUUCUAAAGCUAAAUAUAGGCCAGAGACCGAUAGCGCACAAGUAGAGUGAUCGAAAGAUGAAAAGCACUUUGAAAAGAGGGUUAAAAAGUACGUGAAAUUGUUGAAAGGGAAGCGCCUAUGACCAGACUUGGGCCCGGUGAAUCAUCCAGCGUUCUCGCUGGUGCACUUUGCCGGGCACAGGCCAGCAUCAGUUUGGCGCGGGGGAUAAAGGUUUCGGGAACGUGGCUCCCUCGGGAGUGUUAUAGCCCGUUGCGUAAUACCCUGCGCCGGACUGAGGUACGCGCAUUGCAAGGAUGCUGGCGUAAUGGUCAUCAGCGACCCGUCUUGAAACACGGACCAAGGAGUCGUCUUCGUAUGCGAGUGUUCGGGUGUAAAACCCCUACGCGUAAUGAAAGUGAACGCAGGUGAGAGCUUCGGCGCAUCAUCGACCGAUCCUGAUGUUCUCGGAUGGAUUUGAGUAAGAGCAUACGGGGCCGGACCCGAAAGAAGGUGAACUAUGCCUGUAUAGGGUGAAGCCAGAGGAAACUCUGGUGGAGGCUCGCAGCGGUUCUGACGUGCGAAUCGAUCGUCAAAUAUGGGCAUGGGGGCGAAAGACUAAUCG
RNAcentral lists this ribosomal RNA (835 nucleotides) under Gamszarea lunata. RNAcentral describes it as "partial large subunit ribosomal RNA". It matches the Rfam family "Eukaryotic large subunit ribosomal RNA", at positions 71 to 937 of the family's 3401-position model. Lineage: Eukaryota; Fungi; Ascomycota; Sordariomycetes; Hypocreales; Cordycipitaceae. The record is from RNAcentral.